This 683-nucleotide ribosomal RNA is filed under the name uncultured Alphaproteobacteria bacterium. Its description in RNAcentral is "bacterial SSU rRNA". It matches the Rfam family "Bacterial small subunit ribosomal RNA", at positions 66 to 769 of the family's 1533-position model. The record is from RNAcentral. Lineage: Bacteria; Pseudomonadati; Pseudomonadota; Alphaproteobacteria.
ACGGGAAGCCACCUUCGGGUGGUGGACAGUGGCGCACGGGUGAGUAACGCGUGGGAACCUACCUUUUGGUACGGAACAACCAAUGGAAACGUUGGCUAAUACCGUAUACGUCCUUUUAGGCGGGAGCCUGAAGGGAGAAAGAUUUAUCGCCGAGGGAUGGGCCCGCGUCCGAUUAGUUUGUUGGUGAGGUAACGGCUCACCAAGACCGCGAUCGGUAGCUGGUCUGAGAGGAUGAUCAGCCACACUGGGACUGAGACACGGCCCAGACUCCUACGGGAGGCAGCAGUGGGGAAUAUUGGACAAUGGGCGCAAGCCUGAUCCAGCCAUGCCGCGUGAGUGAAGAAGGCCCUAGGGUUGUAAAGCUCUUUCACCCGCGAAGAUGAUGACGGUAGCGGGAGAAGAAGCCCCGGCUAACUCCGUGCCAGCAGCCGCGGUAAUACGGAGGGGGCAAGCGUUGUUCGGAAUUACUGGGCGUAAAGGGCGCGUAGGCGGUCUGUUGCGUCAGGUGUGAAAGCCCCGGGCUCAACCUGGGAGGUGCACUUGAUACGGGCGGGCUAGAAUCCGGGAGAGGAUGGUGGAAUUCCCAGUGUAGAGGUGAAAUUCGUAGAUAUUGGGAAGAACACCGAUGGCGAAGGCAGCCAUCUGGACCGGUAUUGACGCUGAGGCGCGAAAGCGUGGGGAGC